ACUGCUCAGUAACACGUGGACAACCUGCCCUGAGGACUGGAAUAAUCCCGGGAAACUGGGAGUAAUUCCAGAUAUGCCAGGGAACCUGGAAUGGUUUCUGGCAGAAAUGCUCCGGCGCCUCAGGAUGGGUCUGCGGCCUAUCAGGGUAGUAGUGGGUGUAACGUACCCACUAGCCUACGACGGGUACGGGUUGUGAGAGCAAGAGCCCGGAGAUGGAUUCUGAGACAUGAAUCCAGGCCCUACGGGGUGCAGCAGGCGCGAAAACUUUACAAUGCGGGCAACCGCGAUAAGGGGACCUCGAGUGCUGGGUUACAAACCUGGCUGUUGGGCUGCCUAAAAAGCAGUCUAUAGCAAGGGCCGGGCAAGACCGGUGCCAGCCGCCGCGGUAACACCGGCGGCUCGAGUGGUAACCGCUGUUAUUGGGUCUAAAGGGUCUGUAGCCUGCCGGCUAAGUCUCUUGGGAAAUCUGGCAUCUCAAGUGUCAGGCUGCCAGGGGAUACUGGUCAGCUUGGGACCGGGAGAGGUGAGAGGUACCUCAGGGGUAGGGGUGAAAUCUUGUAAUCCUUGUGGGACCACCAGUGGCGAAGGCGUCUCACCAGAACGGAUCCGACGGCAAGGGACGAAAGCUAGGGGCACGAACCGGAUUAGAUACCCGGGUAGUCCUAGCCGUAAACGAUACUCGCUAGGUGUCGGCCACGGUGCGACCGUGGUCGGUGCCGUAGGGAAGCCGUGAAGCGAGCCACCUGGGAAGUACGGCCGCAAGGCUGAACUUAAAGGAAUUGGGCGGGGGAGCAC
This 795-nucleotide ribosomal RNA is filed under the name Methanosaeta sp. enrichment culture clone L55A_13. Its description in RNAcentral is "bacterial SSU rRNA". It matches the Rfam family "Archaeal small subunit ribosomal RNA", at positions 85 to 879 of the family's 1478-position model. The record is from RNAcentral. Lineage: Archaea; Methanobacteriati; Methanobacteriota; Methanomicrobia; Methanotrichales; Methanotrichaceae.